RNAcentral lists this ribosomal RNA (252 nucleotides) under uncultured bacterium. RNAcentral's name for it is "partial 16S ribosomal RNA". It matches the Rfam family "Bacterial small subunit ribosomal RNA", at positions 524 to 776 of the family's 1533-position model. The record is from RNAcentral.
UACGUAGGGGGCAAGCGUUAUCCGGAAUUACUGGGUGUAAAGGGAGCGUAGACGGUAAUGUAAGUCUGGAGUGAAAGGCGGGGGCCCAACCCCCGGACUGCUCUGGAAACUAUGUUACUAGAGUGCAGGAGAGGUAAGCGGAAUCCUAGUGUAGCGGUGAAAUGCGUAGAUAUUAGGAGGAACACCAGUGGCGAAGGCGGCUUACUGGACUGUAACUGACGUUGAGGCUCGAAAGCGUGGGGAGCAAACAGG